AGCUUUGUGCAGUGGCGGUAUUGCAGCCAAUGAGAUUUACCAAGAUGCAAUCAUUACUAAGUGAACAUUUUCCCCAAUACCCUGCCAUGACAACUUGAAACAUAGUUGGCAUUGGCAAUUUUUGACAGUCUCUAUAAAGA
This is a small nuclear RNA of Pteronotus mesoamericanus, 140 nucleotides long. RefSeq annotates it as U4 spliceosomal RNA. Lineage: Eukaryota; Metazoa; Chordata; Mammalia; Chiroptera; Mormoopidae. The transcript has a single exon. The record is from RefSeq and is a predicted model, not a curated record.